GGGCCCGUAGCUCAACUGGCAGAGCAGCAGACUCUUAAUCUGUUGGUUGAAGGUUCGAUUCCUUCCGGGCUCACCA
RNAcentral lists this transfer RNA (76 nucleotides) under Acidobacteria bacterium SCN 69-37. RNAcentral's name for it is "tRNA-Lys". It matches the Rfam family "tRNA". From Rfam's summary of the family: Transfer RNA (tRNA) molecules are approximately 80 nucleotides in length. Their secondary structure includes four short double-helical elements and three loops (D, anti-codon, and T loops). Lineage: Bacteria; Pseudomonadati; Acidobacteriota. The record is from RNAcentral. RNAcentral also lists the same sequence under 10 other names.